This 635-nucleotide ribosomal RNA is filed under the name Lentilactobacillus parafarraginis. RNAcentral's name for it is "bacterial SSU rRNA". It matches the Rfam family "Bacterial small subunit ribosomal RNA", at positions 52 to 683 of the family's 1533-position model. The record is from RNAcentral. Lineage: Bacteria; Bacillati; Bacillota; Bacilli; Lactobacillales; Lactobacillaceae.
UGCUUGCAUUUAACUGAUUUAACAUUGAGACGAGUGGCGAACUGGUGAGUAACACGUGGGUAACCUGCCCUGAAGUGGGGGAUAACACUUGGAAACAGGUGCUAAUACCGCAUAACAACGAAAACCACAUGGUUUUCGUUUGAAAGAUGGCUUCGGCUGUCACUUUUGGAUGGACCCGCGGCGUAUUAGCUUGUUGGUGAGGUAACGGCUCACCAAGGCCAUGAUACGUAGCCGACCUGAGAGGGUAAUCGGCCACAUUGGGACUGAGACACGGCCCAAACUCCUACGGGAGGCAGCAGUAGGGAAUCUUCCACAAUGGACGAAAGUCUGAUGGAGCAACGCCGCGUGAGUGAUGAAGGGUUUCGGCUCGUAAAACUCUGUUGUUGGAGAAGAACAGGUGAUAGAGUAACUGUUAUCAUCUUGACGGUAUCCAACCAGAAAGCCACGGCUAACUACGUGCCAGCAGCCGCGGUAAUACGUAGGUGGCAAGCGUUGUCCGGAUUUAUUGGGCGUAAAGCGAGCGCAGGCGGUUUUUUAGGUCUGAUGUGAAAGCCUUCGGCUUAACCGGAGAAGGGCAUCGGAAACCGGGAGACUUGAGUGCAGAAGAGGACAGUGGAACUCCAUGUGUAGCGGUG